GCGGAUAUGGUGGAAUUGGCAGACACGCUACUUUGAGGUGGUAGUGCCGCAAGGCGUGCAGGUUCAAGUCCUGCUAUCCGCACCA
RNAcentral lists this transfer RNA (85 nucleotides) under Verrucomicrobia bacterium ADurb.Bin006. RNAcentral describes it as "tRNA-Leu". It matches the Rfam family "tRNA". Rfam says of the family: Transfer RNA (tRNA) molecules are approximately 80 nucleotides in length. Their secondary structure includes four short double-helical elements and three loops (D, anti-codon, and T loops). Further hydrogen bonds mediate the characteristic L-shaped molecular structure. tRNAs have two regions of fundamental functional importance: the anti-codon, which is responsible for specific mRNA codon recognition, and the 3' end, to which the tRNAs corresponding amino acid is attached (by aminoacyl-tRNA synthetases). tRNAs cope with the degeneracy of the genetic code in two manners: having more than one tRNA (with a specific anti-codon) for a particular amino acid; and 'wobble' base-pairing, i.e. permitting non-standard base-pairing at the 3rd anti-codon position. RNAcentral also lists the same sequence under 7 other names. Lineage: Bacteria; Pseudomonadati; Verrucomicrobiota. The record is from RNAcentral.